CCUACGGGAGGCAGCAGUGGGGAAUAUUGGGCAAUGGAGGAAACUCUGACCCAGCGACGCCGCGUGCGGGAUGAAGGCCUUCGGGUUGUAAACCGCUUUCAGUAGGGAAGAAGCGAAAGUGACGGUACCUACAAAAGAAGCACCGGCUAACUAUGUGCCAGCAGCCGCGGUAAUACAUAGGGUGCAAGCGUUGUCCGGAAUUAUUGGGCGUAAAGAGCUCGUAGGUCGUUUGUUACGUCGGAUGUGAAAACCUGAGGCUCAACCUCAGGCCUGCAUUCGAUACGGGCAAACUAGAGUUUGGUAGGGGAGACUGGAAUUCCUGGUGUAGCGGUGGAAUGCGCAGAUAUCAGGAGGAACACCAAUGGCGAAGGCAGGUCUCUGGGCCAAUACUGACACUGAGGAGCGAAAGUCUGGGGAGCGAACAGGAUUAGAUACCCUGGUAGUCCAGACCGUAAACGGUGGGCACUAGUUGUGGGAACCUUCCACGGUUUCUGCGACGCAGCUACGCAUAGUGUCCCGCCGUCGGGAGGUACGAGUCGCGAGAGUAAACUACGAAAGAAGUAGUAACGGUCGUGUUAGAGUGCGACGGACGACGACGAGGGAGGAGG
Molecule: ribosomal RNA, 608 nt
Filed under: uncultured bacterium
Lineage: Bacteria
Description: bacterial SSU rRNA
Rfam family: Bacterial small subunit ribosomal RNA (bases 1-521)
Source: RNAcentral